Molecule: ribosomal RNA, 253 nt
Filed under: uncultured bacterium
Lineage: Bacteria
Description: partial 16S ribosomal RNA
Rfam family: Bacterial small subunit ribosomal RNA
Source: RNAcentral
UACGUAGGGGGCCAGCGUUAUCCGGAUUCACUGGGUUUAAAGGGUGCGUAGGUGGGCUAGUAAGUCCGUGGUGAAAUCUCUGAGCUUAACUCGGAAACUGCCGUGGAUACUAUUAGUCUUGAAUCUCGUGGAGGUAAGCGGAAUAUGUCAUGUAGCGGUGAAAUGCUUAGAUAUGACAUAGAACACCGAUAGCGAAGGCAGCUUGCUACACGAGUAUUGACACUGAGGCACGAAAGCGUGGGGAUCAAACAGG